AGCAGCCGCGGUAAUUCCAGCUCCAAUUGCGUAUAUUAAAGUUGUUGCAGUUAAAAAGCUCGUAGUUGAAUUUCGGGGUUCUUCCGUUGGUCAGGCUAACAAGUCUGUACUAGCGUGUAGAAUCUCUACCUUCUGGGGAACCAUCAUGUUAUUAAUUUAGCGUGGUGGGAAACCAGGACCUUUACCUUGAAAAAAUUAGAGUGUUCAAAGCAGGCUUACGUCUGAAUACAUUAGCAUGGAAUAAUAAAAUAGGACGGUGGUCCUGUUUUGUUGGUUUCUGAAUCACCGUAAUGAUUAAUAGGGAUAGUUGGGGGCAUUAGUAUUCAAUUGUCAGAGGUGAAAUUCUUGGAUUUAUUGAAGACUAACUUCUGCGAAAGCAUUUGCCAAGGAUGUUUUCAUUAAUCAAGAACGAAAGUUAGGGGAUCGAAGACGAUCAGAUACCGUCGUAGUCUUAACCAUAAACUAUGC
Molecule: ribosomal RNA, 468 nt
Filed under: uncultured Scutellospora
Lineage: Eukaryota; Fungi; Glomeromycota; Glomeromycetes; Diversisporales; Gigasporaceae
Description: SSU rRNA
Rfam family: Eukaryotic small subunit ribosomal RNA
Source: RNAcentral